UCCUUCUCUCUCUGCUCCAUUUUCUGUUUUCUGUUUUUCUUUUUAUUUGUUUCUGUUCUGUGUUUUGAAAUAGUAGAAAUGCUAUUCCAUUUAGGAAAAACCUGAAAAUAUUCAGAGGCACAUUUGAAAAUAUUCUCAACAGCCUAAAAAUACCUUCAAGAUUAUUUGGGCAUUUUAAAAUAUUUAUAGGAUUUAAAUUGCUCAAAUGCAAAUACUUAUGGCUUGGUGCAAAAAUCCAGAAUAGCCUCCAAAAAUAUGAAACCAAUUUUGGCAGAGGGUUUAGCCAGGACCAAAGAUGGUGAACAUUUAUGAAGGACAUUUUGGGUUCAUUGAAAUUCCAAUUGUUGGAACCUAGUAUUUCCAAGGGGGUGUUGGGGUUUGUUAGUCCCCAUUUCAAGUUUAAGGAAAAAAUUAGACAUGAUGCACACAUGAAGGGCUAGCCUAGUGCAAACCAGAUCUAGGGAUGUUACAACUCACCCCCACUAAACAAGGAUCUCGUCCCGAGAUUCAAGACGUGAGGUGAGAGGAAAGGGGUCACAAAACUAUCACAAUCUUCAUGGUCCAAAUGUCGUUCUCGAGGAUGUUGAUUCAUUGCAUCACCUUGAUCUCAACGUCUUUCUUUGAGAACUAUAUCCAACAUGACAACGAGUAGAAAGGGAGAAUUUAGAAGAAUCGAUCUUCCUGAGGUUCGAGCAACUUAGGAUCAUCUUAAUGAUCACAAGAUCAACUCACGGAUCGGAACAUUGAAACAUCUCUGGAGCUGAGAGGCAAAACAUGCAUCAGGAGGGAUGGAAGAAACAAUUUGACGAGGGUUUCCAAAUAGCAAGGAAAAAUUGUCAUGAUUCCAUAACGAGGCACCUUAGGAAGGGUGACUCGUAGAAUUAUUCCCUUAAGUGGCAAGAAGAAUUACUUUUGAUACAAAGAUCGUUGAAACCCUUUAUACCAGCCUAAGGCAAUCACAAAUGAUCGUUUGAAAGAAGUCAAAAGAAUGGCACACUCAAUUUGGAAAGGAAACUAUGGUUAUAGAACAACUCGGCAAACGGAAGGCACAUUCCAGUUGAUACCAAGGAUAUAACCUAGUGACUGAGCGUGCUUUCAAGAACUUGAGCAUUUCCAUAUUCAUCAAGGUUUUACCAACAUCCGUGCCGAGGAUCCUAGCAACACAUCAUACUACCAUGAUGAAUGGUGAUGGAGGAUGCAGGUGCAAAGGAGGACAACACUUUCUCAGAUUUUUCCUUAGCAAUGCCAAAGAAGCAAAUCUGGAUGAUCGACCGAGAGACAUUUAGCACUAUACUUCUUAUGUUCUCCUCGAUGUUCUAGCUACCACGGUUAUGCUAAACAAAACAUCAACAUGGCCAUCAAGUAAAGGUCGGACUUCAGAAGCACAAAAAUCCAUAAGGAACAACUUGUGGAAUAAGUCAUAUGAAAUCCUCAUGGGAAGUGACCAAAGGGCUUAAUCAAGAUACUACAAUAAUAGUGCUUCCAGCUAGGUGCGUCCACUUCACUGGAACCUAUAUCAUAGUUCUUGGAAGAAGUUCCAACCAUCAUACCUGCCUGAGAUUCAAAUCUGGUUGGUAACAGGAUAAUUCAGACAACGUGUCUGGAAAAGAAAGUUUGCAACACAAACCGAUGAGAUGAUGUUGCGAGAUUCUCGGGAGAUGAACUACGAUAGCAAACUCCAAAACAUGAGCAGGUUUUGCUACAACAUGUGAACACGCUGUCCCAGACAAGCAUGACCACACGGUAGUCUUAUCAUAAAACACUACCGAGUUCAGGUUGGGAACCAUCAUUGAGGGUAUCGAAGUCCUUGUAUAAGCCCCGGGUCUUAAGAAGGAACUUCUUUUCCUUGAAAAAAUCAAUCGGUGGCUUGGUGUGCUAGGGACACAUACAGAAUGAAGGUUGCAAGUCUCCAAACCACAGAAUACUUCGCACAUAUGCAUGACUGAUUUGGGAUGAUUCCAGAGGAGACAAAACAAACUUUCUCAAUUUCACGGUGGCAACUUACAUCAAAUACACGUGAAUUAGAGGAAGUCACUUCUCUCAUCCAAACAUAUACCUCAUGGACGGGGCAUGAAGCAAAUGCUUACACAAGUUUCCAACACUAGGUUGAUGUUCUACAUGAAUCAUGGGGGAGACAAAAUGCUGCUGAUGGGCUCAACAGCAACUCAUCGGAAUUUCCAUAUCACUGGACUUCCACCAUCAUGUGAACACGAUGAUAGCAUUGGUCAGACCAAAAGAUGUAAUAGUGUAUGCUCGAGGGAUCAACCACGAGUAAGACAACAUUACGAACAUCGUUGGUUCUGAUUUGACUUGACGAUAGCCCAUACUCAAAUCAAGGUUUUGACAAGGCAAUAGAUCCAACAACUGAUCACGAGGACCAAUCGAUGGAGAUAUCAUCUUUCUUCAACACACACUCACACACAAAAGAUAUCCCUUAACAUGAACUAAGUCAGACAAGCUUCUAUCUUCCAACUCUCCAAGUUGUUGUCUAGCCCAACCAACUAGCUCAGGGUAUCCGACAUAGAUUCAUGGAGAACGGAUGGUUUAAAAGAAUACCAACAUGAUCACGAACUCAACAUAGCGGUCAGGUGACGACCUGGUGAUACUUCCGAGAAGAUAUUCAGAAAAUCACGUACCACCGACAUGUUAUUACGAUCGAGAACAAUCUUGCUUUUCAGGGCAAGACGAUGUGAUCAAGAGAGUGAUGGAUUGACACAAUCCUAUCUCAUUAAUCAAGGAGUGCAGCAGAGAAAAUGGACUAAGUCGCACGAUAACUCUUAGGAUGAUGAUUCAAUAACCGACAUACUAAGGAUGAGGGUAUUGCCCAUUAACUACCAAGCAACGGAGUUGCUAGGAGUAUUGAUUUCACACAUCACAAUUCACUUGUCGGUAUUCCGGUUAUAAUAAUACGGAGACCAAGGAAUGAACGAUGAUGGCGAGGAGUAUCACUAAAUCAAGAAUUCAUAAGAGGUGGUGCAAUUCUCAUGACAUUCCUGACAUAAGACGGACUUCAAGGUAGAAUAGCCUUGAUUGUGCUAUUAUAACCGAAAGGUCAAACAUGAAUCAUAUAGUAGAUAUGAUCAACAUAGUGAUGUUCACCAUUGAAACUUCUUCAUCGCGUGACCUUUUGGUUCAACGAGGAACUACUGCCAUAAGCGGUUCAUGGUAUUUGGAAGAAGGAUAUACCACGGACCUCGAGGACUAUCACAAAGGUUACUAAUAUCCUAAAGGAACUAGCAAACACUAUCCACAUGAAGUAAGUAGGGUGAAUCUCGGGUUCAAAACCCAGGAGUAGAAAACCUACUAACUAAAUGGCAUCACGGGAUGCUUUCGAGAAUAAUGGCCAGAAUCAUCACACUGGGAACACAAAACAUGGCUAGAUUACCUGGUGAUCCUCUAAGACACCUAGGGUCAUAAUAAUAGCUCCAACAUAUAUGUCGAGGCAAUGGAGUACCUCAACUCAGCGAUUAGUGUGGUUAAUCUGGCCCAAAGGUACAUCGGAACGAAAAGAAGGGAUUUGCAAAUGCAUCAGACUAUUUAGAAACCUGGGAUGACUCGGACAGCAUAACGGCUGUAAAUGCUCAAAAAGAUUUGAGACAUCCUGCAAAAUGAUAGCAUAACCACUUAACAUCACAAUAUCACGGUUCUGAGAUCAACUGUCGACACACAGAAGUAGUAGGAACUGAACUGGGGCUUGAAUCCACCGAUCUAAUAAGUCUACGGAUUAGUAACACGUGAUCCUGAUAGAAGAUGAGAAAGCCUAGUUCUUAAUCCCCGUAGAAGAGAAGAGGGUGACUCAGAUCAGAGGGGCAUAAGGUAAAGGAGUAAAAAGAGCCUUACGUUCCCAUCCACAAUCAAUUCCCUUAUAUAACUAAAGCAUUUCUAGACUCAACUUCGACCAGUUUGGCUUGGUAAUCCUACAGGCAGUCAGGCUCUGAUACCAAAGCUGUCAGGACCCCGAUUCUAAGUCACACCGAUCUAGCCUGUAACACCUCAUAUCACUUUGCGGCCUCACGCACGGUAUUCCCACGGGUGUCGCCUUACCAUGGCCCGAGACCAUUUGUGCCUUUUGGCUCAUGUAUAUGAUAGUGUCGCUAGCAUCCAUAUGACAGAGAACCCGGGCCGACAUGGCUAGUCGUGAACCCAAAGUGGCACUAACUUACGGGGACAGGCAUACAUGAAUCAACAUCGAGAAUGUCGGUCAGCAGCGUGUGAAUCCAGGCUGUAGCACUGGGCUAACAGGACUCCUGGAACCCGGGCUGUAGCAGGCUAGGCAGGACUCCAGAUGUCAUCACGUGACAUUUCCCCGAAGGGACAGACACAUGAACGAAGUAAAUCGCAUGCCGGCCAGUCAAGUGUUCCGGAGCAGUAGUGCUGGGCUAGCAGGACUCCGGUGAACCGGGUUGUAGCGGACUACUAUGGCUCAUGGAAGCACAAGACUACAUUUCCCCAUAAGAGAGGCUACCAAGGAUAAACAACUAGAUUGUCGGAUCCCACACAUACCAAGCAUUUCAAUCAUAGACACGAUAUACUCGAUAUGUGCAAAUACAACAUGGCAUCACAACAAGACUCUAUGACUCAGAGUAUUUAUUCAAUAGGCUCCGAGGAGAGAGAUAUUACAAACAUGGGUCUCAUGACCCAACAUUGAGAGUAUACAAGUCAAAGUACAUGCGGAAGCUUAACAUGUCUGAGUACACACAUCUACAAAUGAAAAAGGCUGAGAUGCCUGACUAUCUAUAAGACCCUCCCAAGGGUACAAGAUCGUAGCUGAGGUAACAAGCUAAACGUCGAAGUCCAUGCGGAACUACUAGCAAGACUGACGUGUCUCUGUAAAAACACAAAAUAGGCAAACGUGAGUACAAAUGUACCCAGCAAGACUUACAUCAGAACUAACUACAUAUGCAUCGGUAUCAACAAAGGGGGUAGUGGAGUUUAACUACAGCAAGCCAGCUUUGACUCAGUGGCUAACCUGAACUACGACUGCAAGCAACUCUUUUGAGGUGGCGCACACAAGUCCACAUAUUCACCAUAUCAAUACACCACUAUGGAUCCGCUCCCGUCUACCUAUGAGAACGCCAUCCAUAGCACUCACGCUUAUCUUGCGCAUUUUAGAGUAUCCACUUUCACUUGUCUAUGAACUGUACCGGCGACCCAAAAGUCCUUUACCGCAGACACGUCUAUUCGAAUAGAUGAUCUUAACCCUGCAGGGGUGUACUUCUUCACACACGCUCUCGCCACUUACCACCAUGUACACGACGUGUAUCUCGGCAUCCUUCAAGCGGAAGCCUGGCGAGGAAGUCAGCCACGACCUGACUAACCACACAAGUCUCUAGUCCAGGUUUAUCGCCUAUUCGGGCUCCAUCCGCAAGAAGAUCCGGCCGGGGUGUCGCUCACGGCCCCAAACGAUGUGUACAGGGUUCCCAAGCCCACCUCUAUGGAUGGUUUUACGCUUGGUACACCGUGCCACGGUGCCUAGUCUGUCCCAAGCCCACUGUACCGGGUGCCACUUGGUAGACUACUAACACAACCUACAAACACCAGAAACUAGUUGCAACUCCUGGACGGAGAUCGAGGCGGUUAAUAAGCCGAGAGGGGUCGAGUUACCGGAACCCAAUGUGUGGUAGUAGCUGUUCAUGGAUCACAAACACAGAACUCAGUUACUGAGGAUGGUUUCAAUGAGACAACCCAGCAUGUACUCCUGCAUGGCCUCUCACCGCUACCUUUACCAAAUCGUGUUCACACACUUAGCUCACAACAGUAGGACAUGUUCACACACCUCUAAUUCAUCCCCGAUGAAUCAUACCUGACUCAACUCUAAGCAGUAGCAGGCAUGACAAACAAUCAUGAAUGAGUAGGCACAUCAGGGCUCAAGCAACUCCUACUCAUGCUAGUGGGUUUCAUCUAUUUAUUGUGGCAAUGACAGGAUGCAGAGGAAAGGGGUUCAACUACCGCAGCAUGUAACAGUUGAAACGUUGUUGUCCUAAUGCAGUAAAAGAGAGCAGGAGCGAGAGAGUGGGAUUGUAUCGAAAUGAACAAGGGGGUUUUGCUUGCCUGGCACUUGUGAAGAUAGCAUUGAGUCUUCAUCAGUGUCAAUGAUCACAGCGUCGGAACAACGUCUACCGAGGGGAACAACACCGGCAAACAGAGAAUAAACACAAUCAAUGCAAUGCACAAUAUGAUGCAUGAACAUGGCAUGUAUAUGUAAUGUUGUUUGUGCUAAAGCCAACAGCAACAAGUUCAAUGGAGCUCAUUUGAAUCAAGGAUUCAAAUGCAACUCCACACUUAAGCAUUUUAAAUGCCCUUUAUGUGUUUUCAUCUAUACAACACGUUUAGGUUGGUUUUUCAUGCAUGAAACUAGUACAGAUGGAUAGAUUGAAUUUUUCUGAUAAUUUUUCAUAUAUAAAUUAUUUCAUUUGGAGUUACAGAUUAUUUCUAUGAUUUUUAGAAGUUUUGGCUAUUUUCUGGAAUUUUCUGAAUUAUUUUAAAUCCAGAAAAUGUAUUACUACGUCAGCAUUAGGUCAUGCUCACCUCAGCAGGUCAACAGGCGCCGUCCAGGUCAAACCUGACCAGUGGGGCCUACUGGUCAGUGAUGCAGUGUCAGCUACAGAGGCUGACAUGUGGGACCCGGUCAAAGCUGACGUGGCCAACUCAAAGUUGACAGGCGGGGCCCACUGUGAUUAAUGCUAAUCUAACAGAGGAAUUAAAUUAAUUAUUUUAGGCACUGGGGCCCACAUGGCAGUUGCUCUAGGGGUGGUUAGCUGGGUCAUUAGUGGCUAAUGAUGUCCACGUCGACAGUCGCCGGAGUUUCGCCGGCGACGACCAAAACUGCGGCGGCAACUCGCCGGACUUGAGCUACAGACAGCGGUUGGACGCGUGGAAACAACCAGGAGGUAGCCCACGCUCUUCCGCAUCCAGAGGAGCAGGUGAGACGCGGCAGAGACGGUGGAGCUCGCCGGAGCGGAGCUCGCGGCGGCGGCCGGAGCUCGGGUGGUUGCGGGUUUGGCGCUACGGCUUGCGUUCGAGGAAAAUAGCAGGCUAGAGAGGCACUAGGCGUUGCUACGAGCGCAACGGGCACACGCACGGGACCAAUUGGUCACCAGAGCCACGUCGGCGACGAGGCCAGGCGGCAGCGCGAUUCGGUCGGCAAGGGGGCGACGGCUACGGGGCAUAAUCGAGCUCGGGAAGAGGGGGGUUCGGGUCAGUGGCUCACGGCGAGUCAGACGAGCAGGUCGGCGAGCUCGGAGAUGGUCCAGAGCGGGCGGUGCAGCGAAGGCGAUCUCCAGCGGCCGGAGGUUGAAGAAGAGCUCGGGUCGUCACUUGGGACGUUCGGCGUCGUGUGCAUCGACGGAGAUGGCGAUGGCGAUGAGGCGGAGCUUGGGGCGCGUCGGAGAGGCAAGGGGGUGGCGGUGGGCGCGGUGGCAGUGAGCGGCGGCGACGGUUGCGUUCGGUGGGUGAGAGAGGGGGGGCAGAGGGGAGAGGGCCACAGGAAGAGUGAGAGGGGUCCGAGGGAUCCAGGCGUCGCGCUGGCGUCGUCUAGGCGCGUCGAGGGGGAGCCAGGCAGGCUGGGAGGGAGGAGGUGGCCGGGGCGCGUGCGUGCGCGCGUCGGGCACGCGCCGUCCUCCUGGCAGGGGGAGGAAGACGACAGGGGAGGAGGAGGUGGGCUAGGCCAGCGGGCUAGGCCGGCUACAGGUAGGUCGGCCAGGUAGUCCUUCUCUCUCUCUGCUCUAUUUCUGUUUUCUGUUUUUCCUUUUAUUUGUUUCUGUUCUGUGUUUUGAAAUAGUAGAAAUGCUAUUCCAUUUAGGAAAAACCUGAAAAUAUUCAGAGGCACAUUUGAAAAUAUUCUCAACAGCCUAAAAAUACCUUCAAGAAUAUUUGGGCAUUUUAAAAUAUUUAUAGGAUUUAAAUUGCCCAAAUGCAAAUACUUAUGGCUUGGUGCAAAAAUCCAGAAUAGCCUCCAAAGAUAUGAAACCAAUUUUGGCAGAUGG
Molecule: long non-coding RNA, 7985 nt
Filed under: Triticum aestivum (bread wheat)
Lineage: Eukaryota; Viridiplantae; Streptophyta; Magnoliopsida; Poales; Poaceae
Description: long non-coding RNA (TAES_LNC000043)
Source: RNAcentral